This 238-nucleotide ribosomal RNA is filed under the name uncultured bacterium. RNAcentral describes it as "partial 16S ribosomal RNA". It matches the Rfam family "Bacterial small subunit ribosomal RNA", at positions 15 to 263 of the family's 1533-position model. The record is from RNAcentral.
GAUCAAUGGCUCAGGACGAACGCUGACAGAAUGCUUAACACAUGCAAGUCUACUUGAACUUCGGUUUGGGUGGCGGACGGGUGAGUAACGCGUAAAGAACUUGCCUUACAGUUAGGGACAACAUUUGGAAACGAAUGCUAAUACCUGAUAUUAUGAUUUUAGGGCAUCCUAAGAUUAUGAAAGCUAUAUGCGCUGUGAGAGAGCUUUGCGUCCCAUUAGCUAGUUGGAGAGGUAACGG